Molecule: ribosomal RNA, 273 nt
Filed under: uncultured Nocardioides sp.
Lineage: Bacteria; Bacillati; Actinomycetota; Actinomycetes; Propionibacteriales; Nocardioidaceae
Description: partial 16S ribosomal RNA
Rfam family: Bacterial small subunit ribosomal RNA
Source: RNAcentral
UAAACUCAAAGGAAUUGACGGGGGCCCGCACAAGCGGCGGAGCAUGCGGAUUAAUUCGAUGCAACGCGAAGAACCUUACCUGGGUUCAACUACUACCGGAAAGCGCUAGAGAUAGUGCCCCUUUUUGUCGGUAGAUAGGUGGUGCAUGGCUGUCGUCAGCUCGUGUCGUGAGAUGUUGGGUUAAGUCCCGCAACGAGCGCAACCCUCGUCUGUUGUUGCCAGCACGUUAUGGUGGGGACUCAACAGAGACUGCCGGGGUCAACUCGGAGGAAG